AUUAAGCAACAGCGAAACUACUUGUCAAAUUUAUUUGAAUAUAGAUGCAACGUCUGGUUGGAAAAUGCAGAAUCGGUAUACAGAAUUUCCCAGGUGAUUGAUGACACUGUUUGUUGGCAGCUAAGGUGAUUAAAUAGUUCAUGAGGAAAUUGGAAGAAUAAGAGAGAAUUGAUGACAGUUCGCAAUGGGUUGGAUCAAUUAUAAUACCUUCUAGUUUCAUCAGUCCGGUGAAAGAACGUAUUGCUAUU
This 248-nucleotide unclassified non-coding RNA is filed under the name Athalia rosae (coleseed sawfly). RNAcentral describes it as "misc RNA ENSAEAG00005011332.1". Lineage: Eukaryota; Metazoa; Arthropoda; Insecta; Hymenoptera; Athaliidae. The record is from RNAcentral.